RNAcentral lists this small RNA (308 nucleotides) under Histoplasma capsulatum var. duboisii H88. RNAcentral's name for it is "Histoplasma capsulatum H88 hypothetical RNA". The record is from RNAcentral. Lineage: Eukaryota; Fungi; Ascomycota; Eurotiomycetes; Onygenales; Ajellomycetaceae.
CUAUCAAUAUCAUUUUCAUUAUCAAUAUUAUCAUCAUUGUGAUUAUUACUAGAAGCAGUCUAUCUCUAACCUCUUUUCUAAAGAUAAGCAGAUAAAUCAUAAAUGAAAAGUUAGAUAAUGAUGUUUAUUUUUAUAGAGAUUGAUUGAAUAUUGCUCAGACAAAUUGAUUGAUGGAUAGAGAGGUAGAUAAAUAACUAGCAUUCUAUAUUUUAUAUCAUCAAUCGAUCGGAUAUUAAGCAGGUAGAUAAAUUGGUAAAUAGAUAGUUAAAAUUCUCUAUUCUAUUAGCAAUCAACUGAUAUCACGCAGG